GGAGCAAGCUCAGUUGGUUAGAGCAUGGUGCUGACAAGAGUGCGGUGCUGAUAAUGCCAAGGUUGCAGGCUCAAUCCCUGUACAGUGGUACCU
Podarcis lilfordi (Lilford's wall lizard) is the source of this 93-nucleotide non-coding RNA. NCBI's taxonomy places the organism in Eukaryota, Metazoa, Chordata, Lepidosauria, Squamata, Lacertidae. The record is from the annotation of a GenBank genome assembly.